This 3781-nucleotide long non-coding RNA is filed under the name Sus scrofa (pig). RNAcentral's name for it is "lncRNA (ENSSSCG00015051490.1)". Lineage: Eukaryota; Metazoa; Chordata; Mammalia; Artiodactyla; Suidae. The record is from RNAcentral.
UCUUUUCAUUUUUAAACACUUCAUUUCCCCAACCCUGCUAGAUGUAAGCCACACACAUUUAUAUUAGGAUUUUCAGAGCCUCUGGGUUUCUUGCUGGUGGUGCCUGUCAGGACCGCGGCUCCUUGCAUUAGCCAGGCUGUGAUGGGCUUUCAAGCAAAAGGAGCAACUCCACAGAAACAGAUGUUAACAUCCCUGGGCACAGCAAGCCCUCUCCCUGUGAUUUUUCUCUCCAAAUUUGCAUUCGUGCUGUCAGGUGGGGAAUUGUGCAGAAUGACAAUUGAUGCCACCAGUGAAAGAAGUUAGGAUGGGAAUGAGAGAUGGUGGGGAGAAUCAGACUCAUUAUUUAAUGGCUCCAGAAGGGGACAUGAACUCUCUUGCCAGAUGCAAUUCCAAGCAAAUUACAUAUAUUUUUGCAUUUGAUUCUCCAACAAACCUACAAAGUGGGUCUUAUUAUCAUGUCCAUUUUACAGAUGAAAAAGUUGGGAUACUGAGAAAUCAAAUAAUGCACAGUAUAGUAAAGGGGCAGAUCUGGGAUUAAACGUGGACUCUCUGGCUCUACCCCGCAGUGUCCUCCACACUAUGUGUGUGAGGUUUCCCAGGACAGUCUCUGCCCUCAACAAGCCUUCGUUCAGUAAGGAAGCAAGUAGGAUGUAUCUUUAUCUUUAUCUUUUGUACCUUUAUGUAAUUUAUCUUUGGUACAUCUCUAUUUCUGUAGGAUGAAUUCCCAUAUGAUAUAGUGUAAUUUUUUUUAACGGCCACACCUGUGGCAUAUGGAAGUUUCUGGGCCAGGGAGUGAAUCUGAGCAGCAGCUGCCAGCCUAUGCCACAGCUGUAGCAACAGUGGAUCCUUUAACCCACUGUGCUAGGCCAGGGAUCAAACGCACACCUCCACAGCCUUUAAGAGCAUAUACUGAAUUAGACAAGUAUUCCCAAACCUGGCAUUUCAAGACCCUUCUUCUAGUUGUGUAUUAGGCUCCUUACGCACACUAUCCAGUCGUUACAGUGCACCAAGGCAGGUGGUCUUGUCUUCAAUUUAUAAGUCUAGAGAUUGAGAUUGAUAUCACUAAUAGAUGGGUCUUUGAAUCCAGGCCUGUGAAGGAUGUGUUCUUUUCCUAAGCGACUCUCACCAAUGCUCCACCCACUCCGCAGAGGAGGGAGGCAGGCAUCACACUGCAGGAGCCAGGCUGGCUGGAUUUGAACCCUGCUUUACAUCUAGCCUUGUGAUCUCAUGCAAUAAUUGUCCUCGUCGGUAUUUGCUUCCUCACUUCUAAAAUGUGGAUACUAACAGGACUCUUCUCAGAGGGGUGUGGUGAGGGUUGCAUUGUUAAUAUACGUAAAGUGCUUAGAUUUGUGCCUGGUGCGUUGUAAGUACUAAUUACCUUUAUUAUCACCUUCAUCAUCAUCCUUUUUUCUAUUACCGUCGUGAAACCAGGUACACUGGCCAUUUCCCAGACACAACUUGGUAAUUGACCUAUGCCUCUGUUCGCAGUGUUUACUUUUUGCAUGCUUGCCCCAUCCCUUCACACAACUAACUUGAUGGCUAAUAUUUAUUGAUGGGGCUGGUGAAGAAAACCCUCCUUAUCCUCCCAAGGCCAUUCUCUUCCUUAUUGUCCACGACUCUCCCUUUCUCUUACACUACCUAUACCUCUUUUACAUUUUUCAUCCUGUCUGGUUUUAGAGUUGUGUAUAUAUACAAGAAUGUAUUAUUUACAAGCAAAUAAAUAGGAACAACAAAGACAUUUUUUUCAAAAAAAGAGUUCUAGAUUGUAUAAAUAACACAAGACAUAUGAUGGAGUGCUAUAAAGACAUUAAAAAUGCUAUUUUGGAGGACUCGAUGACUAAAUGCUCAUGGUGAAUUAUUAAAAGAAAUAGGUUAUAGAACAGUAUAUGUAGUAUGAUCUCAUAAAUAUAUAAACCUGUGUACAUGUCUAUAAAAAGCCAAAAAGCUAUAAAAUAAUGUUUACAGCAUUUCUUCACCACUGGAACUAUGGGUAUUAUAGUUUUCUCCUUUGUAUAUUUUCUAUUUUCCAAAUUUUCAGAGGGAAUAUUUAUAAAAGGUGUUUAUAUGUUUUUAAUAUGUUUUACAACCUUAGGGGAGUUCCUGUAGUGACUCGGGAAACUAAUCCAACUAGUAGCCAUGAGGUUGCCAGUUCCAUCCCUGGCCUUGCUCAGUGGGUUAAGGAUCCAGCGUUGCAGCUCAGAUCUUGCAUUACUGUGGCUGUGGCUGGUAGCUGUAGCUCCAAUUUGACCCCUAGCCUGGGAACUUCCAUAUGCCGCAGGUUUGGCCCUAAAAAGCAAACAAACAAACAAAUAAACAAGCAAAAAAACCACACCCCCAAAACUUUGGAUAUACAACUUUAAUUGGGAAAUUUUUAGUAACAGUAGUAAACCCACAAGAGGGAAAGUGAUUCUGAAGCAUAUAUCUGGUCGAUAUGGCAGGUUACCAGGUAUUUUGUUUUGCUUCUAAUUGUUUUAUAGAUUAGCUAUUUUUGUUUUUAGGGUAAGGAUUCAGAAUUUGAAAAAAAAUUUUUUUUGUCUCUUUUUUUAGGGCUGCACCCACAGCAUAUGGAGAUUUCCAGGCUAGGGGUCGAAUUAGAACUGUAGCUUCCAGCCUACGCCACAGCCACAGCAAUGCAGGAUCUAAGCUGCAUCUACAACUUACACCACAGCUCAUGGCAGUGCUGGAUCCUUAACCCACUGAGCGAGGCCAGGGAUCAAACUUGCAUCCUCAUGGAUACUAGUCAGAUUUGUUUCCACUGAGCCAUAACCAGAAAUCCUGAAAACAUUUUGAAUAAAUAAGUUAGGAGUUCUCUGGCAGCUCAGUGGGUUAAAGACCCAUCACUGUCACUGCUGGGGUGCUGGUUCCAUCCCAGGCUUGGGAACAUCUGAAUGCCGUGGGCAUGGCCAAAAUAUAAACAAACAAGUAAAUAAACUUUAUGUCAAUGCAAAUACCGAAAUCUUUUUCCAUUGCUAAACUUUUCAGAACUGGGGCUUUCAUCCUGGUCAGCCAGGGAGGAGAUGGGUACUAACUGAAGAGACUGCACAGAGAAGUAUCUUAAAGGUGCAGAAGAGGCAUUAGUUCUGCUGCCAUGAAAAUGGGGGAAGAUGUAGGCUUCACCUUACUGUGGGCUUUCUCCCUGUUUCAGCAAAUCUUAGUGUUAUGACUGAAAAAACAAUAAAUUAUUAAUGUCUAUACUUAAGAAGCUGAGGAGAGGUGUUUUAUGAACACCACUGUGACCAUGAAAUCCAUUUUACUGUGGCAGCGGUUUUAUUUUCUUAAAUUCAUGGUGACAUGCUCCUCUGAUUCAUGUAGGGUGGCAGGCGCAUUGCCUUAUGAGGUGGGUCUCUGGCUUAAAAGCAUCCUGGAACCAAAAGAAGUCUGGACAGCAAUGGGAGGCUUGCUGGUCUGCAAAAAGGUCCCAGUGAGUGAGUUGCCUCAGGAUCAGCUCCGCGCACGUGCCAAGGGCUCAGGGGAAGAAGGGAUGGAGUUGCAAUAGGAACAGGUUAGGAUCGCAGGGGUCCUUAAUGCUAUCAUAUAAUGGAGGUGGAGGUCUCACCUUGUGGCUGUAGGCUUUAGACUGGAUUCCAUUGGAGGGUAGUGACUAUAAACUUUCAUUGGAGUUGUAAUACUGACAUUUAUUUGAUUUUUACUGUAAUCAUGUGUUUGUAGGAGUUUUCUAGUAGUACAGCGGGUUAAGGAUCCAGCAUUGUCACUGCAGCAGCUGGGGUCUCUGCUGUGGUACAGGUUUGAUCCCUGGCCCAGGAACUUCCAUAUGCUGGGG